AUUGAACGCUGGCGGCAUGCCUUACACAUGCAAGUCGAACGGUAACGGGCCUUCGGGUGCCGACGAGUGGCGAACGGGGGAGUAAUACAUCGGAACGUGCCCGAUCGUGGGGGAUAACGAGGCGAAAGCUUUGCUAAUACCGCAUACGAUCUACGGAUGAAAGCAGGGGACCGCAAGGCCUUGCGCGGACGGAGCGGCCGAUGGCGGAUUAGGUAGUUGGUGGGAUAAAAGCUUACCAAGGCGACGAUCUGUAGCUGGUCUGAGAGGAUGAUCAGCCACACUGGGACUGAGACACGGCCCAGACUCCUACGGGAGGCAGCAGUGGGGAAUUUUGGACAAUGGGCGCAAGCCUGAUCCAGCCAUGCCGCGUGCAGGAUGAAGGCCUUCGGGUUGUAAACUGCUUUUGUACGGAACGAAAAGCCUUCUUUUAAUACAGGAGGGUCAUGACGGUACCGUAAGAAUAAGCACCGGCUAACUACGUG
Molecule: ribosomal RNA, 482 nt
Filed under: uncultured bacterium
Lineage: Bacteria
Description: partial 16S ribosomal RNA
Rfam family: Bacterial small subunit ribosomal RNA
Source: RNAcentral